AAGCUAUUAAACAAGCUUGCAUUCGCUAGAGCGUCAGGUCAAACUGGCGGUAGCAAAGUUUUGACUGAUUUGGUAGAUGAAUUGCAGGAACCAGGUGUUGCUGUUGAGCUUUAAUAAAUUCAGAAUUAUUCAACCAAGCCUUGAAUCAAUUUCAUUGAAAACUGGCGGUGGUAUGUAUUCCCAAGCAGCUAACAGGGAAGGAUCAGAUGACAACUACCUAUAUUAUCCUCAUCCAAAUAUGUCCCAAGGAAAGAGGAGUUUAUCCGUUUCCGUCACCACUGGGCUAAAGGUGAACCGGUAAUUGUAAAAGACGUCUUAGAGCAGACAAGUGGUUUAAGCUGGGAGCCAAUGCUAAUGUGGUGUGCAUUAUGUGAACAUGUGGAUCCUAAUGUCAGUUCAAAGAUGUCACAAGUCAAGACUAUUGAUUGCUUGGCUGGUUGUGAGGUGGAAAUCAGCACUUGGGAAUUUUUCAAGGGUUACACAGAAGGAAGGAAAUAUCUGAAUUCAUGGCCACGUCAUUGUUACGAGUUCAUCAGUGCAUUGCCUUUUCAAGAGUACAACGAUCCAAGGAAGGGUUUUCUCAAUUUUGUUGUCAAGUUACCACCUGGUGUUUUAAAACCCGAUCUUGGGCCCAAGACGUAUAUUGCAUACGGAAUUCCCCGAGAACUUGGGAGAGGGGAUUCCAUCACCAAACUUCAUUGUGAUGUGUCAGAUGUUGUGAAUAUAUUGACACACACAGCGGAAGUAUCAAAUAGUGAGGAGUAGCAACUAGCAAUUAAGAAGUUAAAGAGAAGACACAGGAGCCGGGAUGAAAGAGAAAAAAACUGAUGGUCUUUUUCGUUUUGGUGAUAAAUUUGGUGGUUAUAAAGAGGAAUCGAAUUCAAAUGAGAGAGGAGAUACAUGUGGUGCUCUUUGGGAUAUAUUUAGAAGGGAAGAUGUUAAGAUUUUAGAGGAGUAUCUAUUGAAGCACUCUAGAGAAUUUCGACACACAUAUUGUUGUCCUAUUAAUAAGGUUUAUAACCCUAUUCACGAUCAAGCAUAUUACUUGACAUUGGAGCAUAACCAGGAAGCUAAAAGAGGAGUAUGGUGUUGAACCAUGGACUUUUGAACAACAUUUGGGAGAAGUCGUUUUCAUUCCUGCUGGAUGUCCACAUCAAGUGCAAAAUCUUAAGGUAACUUCCAUUUUAAUUAUUUAACCAUGACU
This is a long non-coding RNA of Helianthus annuus (common sunflower), 1204 nucleotides long. RefSeq lists it as uncharacterized. Lineage: Eukaryota; Viridiplantae; Streptophyta; Magnoliopsida; Asterales; Asteraceae. The transcript has 5 exons. The record is from RefSeq and is a predicted model, not a curated record.